GACGAACGCUGGCGGCGUGCUUAACACAUGCAAGUCGAACGGAAAGGCCCUGCUUUUGUGGGGUGCUCGAGUGGCGAACGGGUGAGUAACACGUGAGUAACCUGCCCUUGACUUUGGGAUAACUUCAGGAAACUGGGGCUAUUACCGGAUAGGAGCUCUUGCUGCAUGGUGGGGGUUGGAAAGUUUCGGCGGUUGGGGUUGGACUCGCGGCUUAUCAGCUUGUUGGUGGGGUAGUGGCUUACCAAGGCUUUGACGGGUAGCCGCCCUGAGAGGGUGACCGGCCACAUUGGGACUGAGAUACGGCCCAGACUCCUACGGGAGGCAGCAGUGGGGAAUAUUGCACAAUGGGCGGAAGCCUGAUGCAGCAACGCCGCGUGCGGGAUGACGGCCUUCGGGUUGUAAACCGCUUUCGCCUGUGACGAAGCGUGAGUGACGGUAAUGGGUAAAGAAGCACCGGCUAACUACGUG
RNAcentral lists this ribosomal RNA (468 nucleotides) under uncultured bacterium. Its description in RNAcentral is "partial 16S ribosomal RNA". It matches the Rfam family "Bacterial small subunit ribosomal RNA", at positions 28 to 507 of the family's 1533-position model. The record is from RNAcentral.